This 278-nucleotide small nuclear RNA is filed under the name Neotoma lepida (desert woodrat). RNAcentral describes it as "7SK RNA". It matches the Rfam family "7SK RNA", at positions 1 to 291 of the family's 331-position model. Rfam says of the family: 7SK was discovered as an abundant small nuclear RNA in the mid-70s but a possible function has only recently been suggested. Two independent studies have found that 7SK RNA binds the CDK9/cyclin T complex (known as elongation factor P-TEFb). The record is from Rfam by way of RNAcentral. Lineage: Eukaryota; Metazoa; Chordata; Mammalia; Rodentia; Cricetidae.
GAAUGUGAGGGUGACCUGGAUGAGAUAUCUGUCACCCUGAUGAUCAUCUGGGUUUAUUUGAGUGAUAUAGCUGUCUAGAUGGGUGUCAUCUUUCUCCCUCACAAUUCCUUGUGUGUCCCUACAAAAGCUACAUACUUCAUCAAAAAGGAUAACCUUCCCUGGUAGGAAAGGACUGUUAUUUGGUCUUAGUUAAGUGUAUGAGUUUCUGGGAUCAUCUAUAUCUGAGUUUUAUUCAACCACAAAGAAGAGUAGAACCAUCAUUUGCAAGAAAAUAAUAU